UGGGGAAUUUUGCACAAUGGGGGAAACCCUGAUGCAGCGACGCCGCGUGAUUUAGAAGGCCUUCGGGUUGUAAAAAUCUUUUCUAUGGGAAGAAAAUGACAGUACCAUAGGAAUAAGGACCGGCUAAUUACGUGCCAGCAGCCGCGGUAAUACGUAAGGUCCGAGCGUUGUCCGGAAUCAUUGGGCGUAAAGGGUACGUAGGCGGGUAAGCAAGUUAGAAGUGAAAUACUAUAGCUCAACUAUAGUAAGCUUUUAAAACUGCUCAUCUUGAGGUAUGGAAGGGAAAGUGGAAUUCCUAGUGUAGCGGUGAAAUGCGCAGAUAUUAGGGGGAAUACCGGUGGCGAAGGCGACUUUCUGGCCAUAACCUGACGCUGAGGUACGAAAGCGUGGGUAGCAAACAGG
This 402-nucleotide ribosomal RNA is filed under the name bacterium. RNAcentral's name for it is "partial 16S ribosomal RNA". It matches the Rfam family "Bacterial small subunit ribosomal RNA", at positions 355 to 776 of the family's 1533-position model. The record is from RNAcentral.